GUGAUCAAGGGUGGGAGGGCCAAG
This 24-nucleotide unclassified non-coding RNA is filed under the name Mus musculus (house mouse). RNAcentral's name for it is "oocyte_clustered_small_RNA444". The record is from RNAcentral. Lineage: Eukaryota; Metazoa; Chordata; Mammalia; Rodentia; Muridae.